AUUCAUGACUACACCGGCUUGUCAAGGAUGAUCUUGUCAAAUUUUUGAAGCUAAGCAAGACUGGGCCUGGUUAGUACUUGGAUGGGAGACUGAUGGGAACACCAGGUGCCACAGUG
RNAcentral lists this ribosomal RNA (116 nucleotides) under Periophthalmus magnuspinnatus. Lineage: Eukaryota; Metazoa; Chordata; Actinopteri; Gobiiformes; Gobiidae. The record is from RNAcentral.